This 283-nucleotide ribosomal RNA is filed under the name uncultured soil bacterium. RNAcentral's name for it is "partial 16S ribosomal RNA". It matches the Rfam family "Bacterial small subunit ribosomal RNA", at positions 26 to 337 of the family's 1533-position model. The record is from RNAcentral.
AGAACGAACGCUGGCGGCAUGCCUAAUACAUGCAAGUCGAACGAACUCUUCGGAGUUAGUGGCGCACGGGUGCGUAACGCGUGGGAAUCUGCCCCUUGGUUCGGAAUAACAGUUGGAAACGACUGCUAAUACCGGAUGAUGACGAAAGUCCAAAGAUUUAUCGCCAAGGGAUGAGCCGCGUAGGAUUAGCUAGUUGGUGAGGUAAAGGCUCACCAAGGCAACGAUCCUUAGCUGGUCUGAGAGGAUGAUCAGCCGACACUGGGACUGAGACACGGCCCAGACU